GAGCAAGCCUUCUGAUUGGCCGACGGGGAGGCGGCCUUGCCAUUGACGUCGGAGCCUUCAGGCGCUGCACACCGCGGGAAAUGCAAGCGGAAAACCAAGCUGGCUGGAAAACACCAAGAUUGAGUGACAGGAAGUCACGGGGCCAAAAGAUGGACCAUGCAUUUCCUGUUGCAGCCGAAG
Penaeus monodon (black tiger shrimp) is the source of this 180-nucleotide long non-coding RNA. RefSeq lists it as uncharacterized. NCBI's taxonomy places the organism in Eukaryota, Metazoa, Arthropoda, Malacostraca, Decapoda, Penaeidae. The record is from RefSeq and is a predicted model, not a curated record. The transcript is spliced from 2 exons.